RNAcentral lists this ribosomal RNA (372 nucleotides) under uncultured bacterium. Its description in RNAcentral is "bacterial SSU rRNA". It matches the Rfam family "Bacterial small subunit ribosomal RNA", at positions 527 to 898 of the family's 1533-position model. The record is from RNAcentral.
GUAGGGUCCAAGCGUUAAUCGGAAUUACUGGGCGUAAAGCGUGCGCAGGCGGUUUUAUAAGCCAGAUGUGAAAUCCCCGGGCUUAACCUGGGAAUGGCAUUUGGGACUGUAAGGCUAGAGUACGGCAGAGGAGACUAGAAUUCCUGGUGUAGCAGUGAAAUGCGUAGAUAUCAGGAGGAAUACCGAUGGCGAAGGCAGGUCUCUGGGUCGAUACUGACGCUCAUGCACGAAAGCGUGGGGAGCAAACAGGAUUAGAUACCCUGGUAGUCCACGCCCUAAACGAUGUCAACUGGUUGUUGGGGAAUUGAUUUCCUUAGUAACGAAGCUAACGCGUGAAGUUGACCGCCUGGGGAGUACGGUCGCAAGAUUAAA